CCUUGGACAGCACAUUUCUUUGGCUUGGUGUUGGUGAGUAACCAGGACAUCCCUUUGAGCCCCUCAUUCUGAAACCCAUCAAUCUUGUUUUCUCCAAAACCACUGCAGAAAGAUGGAUAAGAAAAGUAGCCUGGAAACAGGAAUUGAGCUCAGAACUUGCAGUAUGUCUUGUCCUUUGCCUGAGGGGAGCCUCCUGAGCCUUGCUGACAGAUGUCUCAGUCUGGGAAGCUCCAGCAUGCUUUGCUUAGUGUCUCUCCGCCAAGACGGCGCCCGAGAUUAUAACUCUUCUAAUCUGAGCGCAAAGAAAGUGGACCCACCACUAAGACAUCUAGG
This is a long non-coding RNA of Lynx canadensis (Canada lynx), 333 nucleotides long. RefSeq lists it as uncharacterized. The transcript is spliced from 4 exons. Lineage: Eukaryota; Metazoa; Chordata; Mammalia; Carnivora; Felidae. The record is from RefSeq and is a predicted model, not a curated record.